GGUUAAGCGACUAAGCGUACACGGUGGAUGCCCUGGCAGUCAGAGGCGAUGAAGGACGUGCUAAUCUGCGAAAAGCGUCGGUAAGGUGAUAUGAACCGUUACAGCCGGCGAUGUCCGAAUGGGGAAACCCAGUGCAAUUCGUUGCACUAUCGUUAACUGAAUACAUAGGUUAACGAGGCGAACCGGGGGAACUGAAACAUCUAAGUACCCCGAGGAAAAGAAAUCAACCGAGAUUCCCCCAGUAGCGGCGAGCGAACGGGGAGCAGCCCAGAGUCUGAAUCAGCUUGUGUGUUAGUGGAACGGUCUGGAAAGUCCGACGGUACAGGGUGAUAGUCCCGUACACCAAAAUGCACAGGUUGUGAACUCGAAGAGUAGGGCGGGACACGUGGUAUCCUGUCUGAAUAUGGGGGGACCAUCCUCCAAGGCUAAAUACUCCUGACUGACCGAUAGUGAACCAGUACCGUGAGGGAAAGGCGAAAAGAACCCCGGCGAGGGGAGUGAAAAAGAACCUGAAACCGUGUACGUACAAGCAGUGGGAGCACCUUCGGGUGUGACUGCGUACCUUUUGUAUAAUGGGUCAGCGACUUAUAUUCUGUAGCAAGGUUAACCGUAUAGGGGAGCCGCAGGGAAACCGAGUCUUAACUGGGCGUUAAGUUGCAGGGUAUAGACCCGAAACCCGGUGAUCUAGCCAUGGGCAGGUUGAAGGUUGGGUAACACUAACUGGAGGACCGAACCGACUAAUGUUGAAAAAUUAGCGGAUGACUUGUGGCUGGGGGUGAAAGGCCAAUCAAACCGGGAGAUAGCUGGUUCUCCCCGAAAGCUAUUUAGGUAGCGCCUCGUGAAUUCAUCUUCGGGGGUAGAGCACUGUUUCGGCUAGGGGGUCAUCCCGACUUACCAACCCGAUGCAAACUACGAAUACCGAAGAAUGUUAUCACGGGAGACACACGGCGGGUGCUAACGUCCGUCGUGAAGAGGGAAACAACCCAGACCGCCAGCUAAGGUCCCAAAGUCAUGGUUAAGUGGGAAACGAUGUGGGAAGGCACAGACAGCCAGGAUGUUGGCUUAGAAGCAGCCAUCAUUUAAAGAAAGCGUAAUAGCUCACUGGUCGAGUCGGCCUGCGCGGAAGAUGUAACGGGGCUAAACCAUGCACCGAAGCUGCGGCAGCGACACUAUGUGUUGUUGGGUAGGGGAGCGUUCUGUAAGCCUGCGAAGGUGUGCUGUGAGGCAUGCUGGAGGUAUCAGAAGUGCGAAUGCUGACAUAAGUAACGAUAAAGCGGGUGAAAAGCCCGCUCGCCGGAAGACCAAGGGUUCCUGUCCAACGUUAAUCGGGGCAGGGUGAGUCGACCCCUAAGGCGAGGCCGAAAGGCGUAGUCGAUGGGAAACAGGUUAAUAUUCCUGUACUUGGUGUUACUGCGAAGGGGGGACGGAGAAGGCUAUGUUAGCCGGGCGACGGUUGUCCCGGUUUAAGCAUGUAGGCUGAUUGUCCAGGCAAAUCCGGAUAAUCAAGGCUGAGGUGUGAUGACGAGGCACUACGGUGCUGAAGUAACAAAUGCCCUGCUUCCAGGAAAAGCCUCUAAGCAUCAGGUAACAUCAAAUCGUACCCCAAACCGACACAGGUGGUCAGGUAGAGAAUACCAAGGCGCUUGAGAGAACUCGGGUGAAGGAACUAGGCAAAAUGGUGCCGUAACUUCGGGAGAAGGCACGCUGGUGUGUAGGUGAAGUCCCUGCGGAUGGAGCUGAGACCAGUCGAAGAUACCAGCUGGCUGCAACUGUUUAUUAAAAACACAGCACUGUGCAAACACGAAAGUGGACGUAUACGGUGUGACGCCUGCCCGGUGCCGGAAGGUUAAUUGAUGGGGUUAUCCGUAAGGAGAAGCUCUUGAUCGAAGCCCCGGUAAACGGCGGCCGUAACUAUAACGGUCCUAAGGUAGCGAAAUUCCUUGUCGGGUAAGUUCCGACCUGCACGAAUGGCGUAAUGAUGGCCAGGCUGUCUCCACCCGAGACUCAGUGAAAUUGAACUCGCUGUGAAGAUGCAGUGUACCCGCGGCAAGACGGAAAGACCCCGUGAACCUUUACUAUAGCUUGACACUGAACAUUGAGCCUUGAUGUGUAGGAUAGGUGGGAGGCUUUGAAGCGUGGACGCCAGUCUGCGUGGAGCCAACCUUGAAAUACCACCCUUUAAUGUUUGAUGUUCUAACGUUGGCCCCUGACCGGGGUUGCGGACAGUGUCUGGUGGGUAGUUUGACUGGGGCGGUCUCCUCCCAAAGCGUAACGGAGGAGCACGAAGGUUAGCUAAUCCUGGUCGGACAUCAGGAGGUUAGUGCAAUGGCAUAAGCUAGCUUGACUGCGAGCGUGACGGCGCGAGCAGGUGCGAAAGCAGGUCAUAGUGAUCCGGUGGUUCUGAAUGGAAGGGCCAUCGCUCAACGGAUAAAAGGUACUCCGGGGAUAACAGGCUGAUACCGCCCAAGAGUUCAUAUCGACGGCGGUGUUUGGCACCUCGAUGUCGGCUCAUCACAUCCUGGGGCUGAAGUAGGUCCCAAGGGUAUGGCUGUUCGCCAUUUAAAGUGGUACGCGAGCUGGGUUUAGAACGUCGUGAGACAGUUCGGUCCCUAUCUGCCGUGGGCGCUGGAGAAUUGAGGGGGGCUGCUCCUAGUACGAGAGGACCGGAGUGGACGCAUCACUGGUGUUCGGGUUGUCAUGCCAAUGGCACUGCCCGGUAGCUAAAUGCGGAAGAGAUAAGUGCUGAAAGCAUCUAAGCACGAAACUUGCCCCGAGAUGAGUUCUCCCUGAGACUUUAAGUCUCCUGAAGGAACGUUGAAGACGACGACGUUGAUAGGCCGGGUGUGUAAGCGCAGCGAUGCGUUGAGCUAACCGGUACUAAUGAACCGUGAGGCUUAACCUU
Molecule: ribosomal RNA, 2902 nt
Filed under: Klebsiella pneumoniae
Lineage: Bacteria; Pseudomonadati; Pseudomonadota; Gammaproteobacteria; Enterobacterales; Enterobacteriaceae
Also listed under: 1 other name
Description: 23S ribosomal RNA
Rfam family: Bacterial large subunit ribosomal RNA
Source: RNAcentral